Molecule: ribosomal RNA, 415 nt
Filed under: Ectopseudomonas mendocina
Lineage: Bacteria; Pseudomonadati; Pseudomonadota; Gammaproteobacteria; Pseudomonadales; Pseudomonadaceae
Description: bacterial SSU rRNA
Rfam family: Bacterial small subunit ribosomal RNA
Source: RNAcentral
UGAUUUAUCGGCGGACGGGUGAGUAAUGCCUAGGAAUCUGCCUGGUAGUGGGGGAUAACGUUCCGAAAGGAACGCUAAUACCGCGUACGUCCUACGGGAGAAAGCAGGGGACCUUCGGGCCUUGCGCUAUCAGAUGAGCCUAGGUCGGAUUAGCUAGUUGGUGAGGUAAUGGCUCACCAAGGCGACGAUCCGUAACUGGUCUGAGAGGAUGAUCAGUCACACUGGAACUGAGACACGGUCCAGACUCCUACGGGAGGCAGCAGUGGGGAAUAUUGGACAAUGGGCGAAAGCCUGAUCCAGCCAUGCCGCGUGUGUGAAGAAGGUCUUCGGAUUGUAAAGCACUUUAAGUUGGGAGGAAGGGCAGUAAGUUAAUACCUUGCUGUUUUGACGUUACCGACAGAAUAAGCACCGGCUA